AUUGAACGCUGGCGGCAUGCCUUACACAUGCAAGUCGAACGGUAACGCGGGGCAACCUGGCGACGAGUGGCGAACGGGUGAGUAAUGUAUCGUAACGUGCCCAGUUGUUGGGGAUAACUGCUCGAAAGAGCAGCUAAUACCGCAUACGACCUGAUGGUGAAAGCGGGGGACCGCAAGACCUCGCGCAAUUGGAGCGGCCGAUAUCAGAUUAGGUAGUUGGUGGUGUAAAGGCUCACGAAGCAAACGAUCUGUAGCUGGUCUGAGAGGACGACCAGCCACACUGGGACUGAGACACGGCCCAGACUCCUACGGGAGGAAGCAGUGGGGAAUUUUGGACAAUGGACGCAAGUCUGAUCCAGCCAUGCCGCGUGCGGGAAGAAGGCCUUCGGGUUGUAAACCGCUUUUGUCAGGGAAGAAACGCUCUGGGUUAAUACCUCGGGGUAAUGACGGUACCUGAAGAAUAAGCACCGGCUAACUACGUGCCAGCAGCCGCAGUAA
This 498-nucleotide ribosomal RNA is filed under the name uncultured bacterium. Its description in RNAcentral is "partial 16S ribosomal RNA". It matches the Rfam family "Bacterial small subunit ribosomal RNA", at positions 30 to 523 of the family's 1533-position model. The record is from RNAcentral.